This is a long non-coding RNA of Ctenopharyngodon idella (grass carp), 509 nucleotides long. RefSeq lists it as uncharacterized. The record is from RefSeq and is a predicted model, not a curated record. NCBI's taxonomy places the organism in Eukaryota, Metazoa, Chordata, Actinopteri, Cypriniformes, Xenocyprididae. The transcript has 3 exons.
UACACACAGACUGAUAUAUUUCAAAUGUUUAUUUCUUUUAAUUUUGAUGAUUAUAACUGACAACUAAGGAAAAUCCCAAAUUCAGUAUCUCAGAAAAUUAGAAUAUUACUUAAGACCUAUACAAAGAAAGGAUUUUUAGAAAUCUUGGCCAACUGAAAAGUAUGAACAUGAAAAGUAUGAGCAUGUACAGCACUCAAUACUUAGUUGGGGCUCCUUUUGCCUGAAUUACUGCAGCAAUGCGGCGUUGCAUGGAGUCGAUCAGUCUGUGGCACUGCUCAGGUGUUAUAAGAGCCCAGGUUGCUCUGAUAGUGGCCUUCAGCUUUUCUGCAUUGUUGGGUCUGGCAUAUUGCAUCUUCCUCUUCACAAUACCCCAUAGAUUUUCUAUGGGGUUAAGGUCAGGCGAGUUUGCUGGCCAAUUAAGAACAGGGAUACCAUGGUCCUUAAACCAGGUGCUGGUGCCAAGUCCUGUUGGAAAAUGAAAUCUGCAUCUCCAUAAAGUUGGUCAGCAG